AUGGCUCAAACAAAGGAAAUGCACAAAUGGACACCACAGGAGACCAGACGCCUCAUUAAUUUCAGGUCGACCAGGGACAAUGAGUUUCUCAGGUCAAAAAUGAUCGCCCGAAAACAGUGGGAGCUUUUUCUGGAAGAAAUGGGGAUGGAGGGAAAAGUUACAAGGCAACAGGCUUCUAAGAAGUGGGAAAACCUCAAAAAGAAGUACAAGGAUUUGAGGACUCCCAAAACUGGGUCGGGGACGGAAAGUGGGGAGGUGACUGUGGCGACGUGGCAGUAUUACGAUUUGAUGCAUGAGGUUCUUGGUGCCCGGCCAGCAAUCGACCCACCAGUCUUGUGUCCUCGAUUCAAGAAGACCCCAUGGUUAUCCUCAUGGAGAUGGUGGAGCCCUACAACCAAGCACCCCCGACAGCAGCCAGCACCCCACUCAGUGGUGUAG
Molecule: long non-coding RNA, 438 nt
Filed under: Gadus morhua (Atlantic cod)
Lineage: Eukaryota; Metazoa; Chordata; Actinopteri; Gadiformes; Gadidae
Description: lncRNA (ENSGMOG00000022156.1)
Source: RNAcentral